AUUGAACGCUGGCGGAAUGCUUUACACAUGCAAGUCGAACGGCAGCACGGACUUCGAUCUGGUGGCGAAUGGCGAACGGGUGAGUAAUGUAUCGGAACGUGCCCAGACGUGGGGGAUAACGUAGUGAAAAUUACGCUAAUACCGCAUACGAUCUAUGGAUGAAAGCGGGGGAUCGCAAGACCUCGCGCGAUUGGAGCGGCCGAUAUCAGAUUAGGUAGUUGGUGGGGUAAAGGCCCACCAAGCCAACGAUCUGUAGCUGGUCUGAGAGGACGACCAGCCACACUGGAACUGAGACACGGUCCAGACUCCUACGGGAGGCAGCAGUGGGGAAUUUUGGACAAUGGGCGAAAGCCUGAUCCAGCCAUUCCGCGUGCAGGAUGAAGGCCCUCGGGUUGUAAACUGCUUUUGUACAGAACGAAAAGGUCUCUACUAAUACUAGGAGCUCAUGACGGUACUGUAAGAAUAAGCACCGGCUAACUACGUGCCAGCCGCCGCGGUAA
This 500-nucleotide ribosomal RNA is filed under the name uncultured bacterium. Its description in RNAcentral is "partial 16S ribosomal RNA". It matches the Rfam family "Bacterial small subunit ribosomal RNA", at positions 30 to 523 of the family's 1533-position model. The record is from RNAcentral.